Molecule: ribosomal RNA, 650 nt
Filed under: bacterium
Lineage: Bacteria
Description: bacterial SSU rRNA
Rfam family: Bacterial small subunit ribosomal RNA
Source: RNAcentral
GGAAUGGGGUACUGAGGACUUGCUCUUAGAACUCCUCCAAACGGAAAGGAAAAAAAGCGGGUACCCGUAAGUAACACGUGAGUAAUCUGCCCUUCACUUUGGGAUAACUGCCUGAAAGGGUGGCUAAUACCGGGUAUUCUCCUUGCACCGCAUGGUGUGGGGUGGGAAGUUUUUUCGGUGGGGGAUGUGCUCGCGGCCUAUCAGCUUGUUGGUGGGGUAAUGGCCUACCAAGGCUUUGACGGGUAGCCGGCCUGAGAGGGUGACCGGCCACACUGGGACUGAGACACGGCCCAGACUCCUACGGGAGGCAGCAGUGGGGAAUAUUGGACAAUGGGCGGAAGCCUGAUCCAGCAACGCCGCGUGAGGGAUGACGGCCUUCGGGUUGUAAACCUCUUUCAGCACAGACGAAGCGCCUGUGAAGGUGGUGACGGUAUGUGCAGAAGAAGCACCGGCCAACUACGUGCCAGCAGCCGCGGUAAUACGUAGGGUGCGAGCGUUGUCCGGAAUUAUUGGGCGUAAAGGGCUCGUAGGCGGUUUGUCGCGUCGGGAGUGAAAUCCACUGGCUUAACUGGUGGCUUGCUUUCGAUACGGGCAGACUGGAGGUAUGCAGGGGAGAACGGAAUUCCUGGUGUAGCGGUGAAAUGCGCAGA